Molecule: long non-coding RNA, 886 nt
Filed under: Marmota monax (woodchuck)
Lineage: Eukaryota; Metazoa; Chordata; Mammalia; Rodentia; Sciuridae
Source: RNAcentral
CUGAUUGGAAGGUUAAGCAUGAGUAGAGGAGCAUGAAAUUUUACUGUUUAAACCCUAUAUUAUUGAAACAUCUUUAUUGCAGUUGAUACCCUGAAAUGAAGAUGUCCUAUCCUAAAGAGAUCUCUGAUCUCCAUGUCACUCAUAAUAUUACAUUUUAAAUGAUUGCCAUUUAAAAAAAACAUUUUUAGUUGUAGAUGGACACAAUACCUUUACUUUAUUUAUUUUUAUGUGGUGCUGAGGAUUGAACCCAGAGCCUCAUGCACGCAAGGCAAGUGCUCUACCAUUGAGCUACAACCCCAGCCCAAAUGUUUGCCAUUUUUAAGCAUGAGAAAAUUGUUAGAGGAAAAAGAGAGCAUUCCUAAAGGCAAGAACCUUUCUAUGUUUGUAUUUGAUGAGCAAUCAUAAAAAUGGGACUCGGGAAAGGUAGAAAUGAAAAUCACCCAUGUUUAUAAAUUUCCUAGUGUUACAGAUUUUUUUAGUUGUGGAUGGACACAAUGCCUUUUUAAAAAUUUAUUUAAUAUAUUUUUAGUUAUACAUGAACACAAUACCUUUAUUUUAUGUGGUGCUGAGGAUCAAACCCAGUGCUUCACAGGUGCUAGGCAAGUGCUCUACCACUGAGUCACAACCCCAGUCCCUAUGAUUUGGGUCUUAAAAAACCCUCCAAAACUCCUGCAUUGAAGGUUUGGUCCUCAAUUGAUGGGACUAUUGGAAGGUGGUGGAAAAUUUAGAGGUGGGGCCUAGUUGGAGGAAGUAGGUCAUUGGGGAUGAGACUUGAAAAAUAUUUUGGGACCCUAGACCUUCCCCUCUCUCACUUCCCUGCUGCCAUGAGGUGAGCAGGUUUGCUCCACCAUGCACUCACUGUCAUAAUAUUCAACCUCACCACAGG